GGGGGCUCCGAGACCGGGAUUGAUUCGGGGCAAAUAUUUGAUGGAUCAAUCCAAGGGUGACCAGCUGCUUCUCACACUGAGCAGACAAUUACUUGAAGGACCAAGACAGUGUAAUAUGUCCUCGGUACAAAGCCAAGUGUGAUCAGUUCCUUCCAACAAAUAGCAGUACGUUGAAUUUCUCCAGUGCAGAUGGAGGUCACAGAAAAUAACCAGAAUCGGCCUGCAACAACUUGCCAAAAGCACAUCCCACCCAGAUAUAGGCCCUACCUGACCCCCAUAACCACACCUUUACCGUAGCUAACCCAUUUAGGCUGCACGUUGAUGAAUAUUUCCAGGGCAAUUUACCGUGGCUAAUCCAGCUAAGCUGCACAUGUUUGAACUGUGGAAGGAAACUAGAGCACCCAGCCAAAAUUGUUAUGAAGAUGUGAGUGUACUGUACCUUUAAGAAAGUUAUCAGCCAGUAGAACUACUGGACAGCACCAAGUGCUCUGAAAAAAAAAAGGUAACAUUUGGUCGAACAACACAAGUAGCUGUUUGCCUGGAGAUAAAAACCAAUUUGAAUUCAACCAAUCAAUUUAAAUUAUAUCCUGAAAAUAACAAAUUCCAAACCACUUCAUACUGAGUGUAUUGACAUUCUUCAAAGCCAAUGACUCAAUCCGAUACUCUGGAGGUAUAAGACCUGGGAAAAUUGAACAAUUGGGAGGAGAAUUGCGAAGCCCCCAGCGUGUAAAAAGACUGCCUGAAAAAUAGCUCUCUUUAAAGUACCUUUAUCAGUCAGUAACUAGUAAAGCACAAUGCCCAAGAAGAACAAAAGACGACUGGAAUACAGAAAAGAACUGAAAGCUGCCUGGUUUUGAGAUAAGAAGUUUUGUUUUGUAAAUCUUCAUCAGGAGUUCUAUUGGACUAGUAUUAAAGAAGAUAGGUUAGAGGAAGGAGUUGUAAAUAGUUGUUCGUUAUCACUCUCUGUUAUACUUUUAUAAAUAAAGCUGUAAUUUCUUUACUUUAA
Chiloscyllium plagiosum (whitespotted bambooshark) is the source of this 1006-nucleotide long non-coding RNA. RefSeq lists it as uncharacterized. The record is from RefSeq and is a predicted model, not a curated record. NCBI's taxonomy places the organism in Eukaryota, Metazoa, Chordata, Chondrichthyes, Orectolobiformes, Hemiscylliidae.